This 215-nucleotide long non-coding RNA is filed under the name Gossypium barbadense (sea-island cotton). RNAcentral describes it as "long non-coding RNA (GBAR_LNC018121)". The record is from RNAcentral. Lineage: Eukaryota; Viridiplantae; Streptophyta; Magnoliopsida; Malvales; Malvaceae.
ACGAAGCAGGGUCACGAACUCUUCCAUCGCCCUUCUUGUGUUUCUCAGAAUAUAUUUGGGAAGUCGUAUUGUUUUCCACUUUAUCAAGGAAUUCGUAUUCCAUGACAAGGUUUCUAAUUUAGUAAUCGGACUUAAAUCAAUAUCUCUUUCCUAAGAUGCAGAUGCGAUGCAAUCAUAAUCAAAGCACAAUAAAAAUGGUUAGUACAAAAACAAAC